GAGAGCGCACAGAGUGCAGCUUUUAAUUGCAUAGACGGUCAUAUUGGUGCGGCGCGGAGGAAAUCGUCCCUCUGGCUCUGCUUUAAGUCUGGAAGGACCGCGUUCUUCAGCUCCUAAGCUGCUUCAAAAAUAGAGGAGUGGCUGAAUGGCAGCACAUUUCAUUCAGUGCCAGCCGGCCCGGCCAAAUCCCCCGUAGAGGAAGGAGCACUCCCAGAGCAGAGGGGCGGCAGCAGCAGGAGCGCGGGAGGCCUGCUGCCCCCGCAGCAGCCGGCGAGGAUCCCCUCCACUCAAAUGCAGCAGUUACUUGGAUUCCAGUUGACAGCCGUGUGAAACCACCAUCCCUCCACAGCCCUGCUGCACCAGGAGAACAGCCUGCAGACCUGCAGGGAGGAGGAUGGCGUUUCAUGGCUGCACUCAAUCAGGUUCUCCUGUUUUCUCCUGGUGUUUACACGCCUGUGCUGGAGGGAGGGGGCUGCUGGGAUUUCUGGAUCCGUCCUUUCUUAGCUCACGUUUUACACCCUUUUAGAGUGAAGUCAGAUGUUGUUUCCAGCUUGUUUUUGUGGAGUCCUAGUCGAUGAAAGUAUCCUCCUGCCUGGACUGCAAAACUGAAUCUAGUUUGGAGAAAAAUUGCCUUAUUUUUUUUCUAUUACAAGAAAAAGAAUCUUAUCAAGAAAGUUUUUCAAUAGUCAACAAUCUUAGUUUCAGAAAUCACGUCUUGGUGUCAAGAAUGAGUAUUUCUUUUACCCUAUUGGCAGAUUUUUGUGCUCAUUUAAAGAAGGGGUUUUUGUUUUGGCUGAGACAUUUUGAGACACAGAUUUAACUUCUGCUCACGCCUCGUUUUAGUUCAGCACAUAAGCAAAAGAAAUGUUGGGAUUUUUGUUUUCUAAAAUAAGAAAAAUCUUUGUUGCUGCACUUAGUUUAUAGUUGCUAUAAACAAUAAAGUCUGUUUUGAGGCUCACAGAUUGGGAUUACGGGCAAGAAAAAUCCCUAAUCCUGCAACACCAGUUUACAGGAAUAUCUUUUUUAGAAGAAGAGGAAAUGUGGAUUAUUUUUCAAUAAAUAAUGGAAAAAUAUAACACAUUCCUUUUUAGGAUUUAUAAAUCUUUUAAAAUUACUUAGAUCGUAAAUGUUACAAUAUCAGAAUAAAUGGCUCCACAAGUCUUUUCAGAGGUUUGAAUAUUAAAAGCUCUUUUCUUAUUUUACAAAAAUAGAGCCCAUGAAAUUAUUCAAAGGAUGAAGUUUG
This 1243-nucleotide long non-coding RNA is filed under the name Oryzias sinensis (Chinese medaka). RNAcentral's name for it is "lncRNA (ENSOSIG00000010743.1)". Lineage: Eukaryota; Metazoa; Chordata; Actinopteri; Beloniformes; Adrianichthyidae. The record is from RNAcentral.